This 432-nucleotide ribosomal RNA is filed under the name uncultured bacterium. RNAcentral describes it as "bacterial SSU rRNA". It matches the Rfam family "Bacterial small subunit ribosomal RNA", at positions 354 to 796 of the family's 1533-position model. The record is from RNAcentral.
GUUGGGAAUAUUGGGCAAUGGGCGCAAGCCUGACCCAGCGACGCCGCGUGGGGGAUGAAGGCCUUCGGGUCGUAAACCCCUGUCAGGAGGGACGAAGCCGCAAGGUGACGGUACCUCCAGAGGAAGCCCCGGCUAACUACGUGCCAGCAGCCGCGGUAAGACGUAGGGGGCGAGCGUUGUCCGGAUUUACUGGGCGUAAAGCGCGUGUAGGUGGUUCGUUAAGUGGCGCGUGAAAGUUCGCAGCUCAACUGCGAAUCGUCGUGCCAUACUGGCGGGCUUGAGGGCAGCAGAGGAUGGUGGAAUUCCCGGUGUAGCGGUGAAAUGCGUAGAUAUCGGGAGGAACGCCAGUGGUGCAGACGGCCAUCUGGGCUGUCCCUGACGCUGAGACGCGAAAGCUAGGGGAGCAAACGGGAUUAGAUACCCGUGUAGUCC